AUGGCAUCUUUGCAAUUUUAGCGUCUUUCUUUUUGCAAUAAUAAUUGUAUCAUUAAUUGUUGAAUGAAACUUUAGAAGGAUCGGAUUUUUCAUUCUCAUUUCUAACUGGGAAAAAAAGAACAAACGCACCAGCAGCAACUCUUCUCUUCAUCUUCUUAUCUUGGUAACAACUUUUAGCCAUGUCAGAAAUCUGGGACUCAUGGUCGGUGGGUUUUUGGAUCAACUCCAGCAGGUACAUGUGUUAAAAUUUAACACACUGGCGCAUGUCUCGAUCCUAAUUUUGUUGGAGCAAUUUGAAAAUGGAACUCUUAUGGAGAAGGUGCGUAUGAAAAAGUCGAUAGGAAUGUCAUUUGUACGGUUAACAUACGGAAUGUGAUUUGAAGAUGGGAGCAAAAUUCAUUGUUCUUAAAUUCACAGAUUGUGAAAUUGUAUUAUAUACUCGAACGUAUUAUGUAGUCUUCUAUGUUAUACUCUAUAAAAAUUAGAACUGUGCUUAUGUGUGUGUGGUAUUAUGGUUAUUCUGAAACAUUAAUUGCUGUUUAGGUUUAGAAUUCAAUAUAUGUCCUCGGUGGAUGCAA
This is a long non-coding RNA of Nicotiana tabacum (common tobacco), 578 nucleotides long. RefSeq lists it as uncharacterized. NCBI's taxonomy places the organism in Eukaryota, Viridiplantae, Streptophyta, Magnoliopsida, Solanales, Solanaceae. The record is from RefSeq and is a predicted model, not a curated record.